RNAcentral lists this ribosomal RNA (1925 nucleotides) under human gut metagenome. Its description in RNAcentral is "bacterial LSU rRNA". It matches the Rfam family "Bacterial large subunit ribosomal RNA", at positions 23 to 1983 of the family's 2925-position model. The record is from RNAcentral.
GGUGGAUGCCUUGGCACUAAGAGCCGAUGAAAGACGUGAUAAGCUGCGAAAAGCUUCGGGGAGGAGCAAAUAUCCUACGAUCCGGAGAUAUCUGAAUGGGGAAACCCACUUGAGCAAUCCUCAAGUAUCCAUACGCCAAUCCAUAACGUAUGGAAGGGAACCCGGGGAACUGAAACAUCUAAGUACCCGGAGGAAAAGAAAGAAAACUCGAUUCCCAAAGUAGCGGCGAGCGAAAUGGGAGGAGCCUAAACCGGAAUGCGUGCAUUCCGGGGUUAUGGACUGUCACACGUGACUUGAAUGGUAAAAGAACGGUUUUGGGAAAUCCGGCCAGAGAGGGUGAAAGCCCCGUAUUUGAAACCAGAAGAGAGCAGACAGUAUCCAAAGUACCACGAGACACGAGAAACCUUGUGGGAAGUCGGGGGGACCACCCCCCAAGGCUAAAUACUACUUAGUGACCGAUAGUGCAUAGUACUGUGAAGGAAAGGUGAAAAGAACCCCGGGAGGGGAGUGAAAAAGAACCUGAAACCCUGUGUUUACAAGCUGUGGAACCACUUUAUAUGUGGAACCGCGUACUUUUUGUAGAACGGUCCAGCGAGUUACGCUGGCUGGCAAGGUUAAGCACUCAAAGUGUGGAGCCGGAGGGAAACCAAGUCUUAAUAGGGCGAAUUAGUCGGCCAGAGUAGACCCGAAACCGGGUGAUCUAUCCAUGUCCAGGUUGAAGUUACCGUAAAAGGUAAUGGAGGACCGAACGCACAUCCGUUGAAAAGGGUGGCGAUGAGGUGUGGAUAGGGGAGAAAUUCCAAUCGAACCCGGAGAUAGCUGGUUCUCCUCGAAAUAGCUUUAGGGCUAGCCUCAUAUUAGUCUAACGGAGGUAGAGCACUGAAUUUCCUAGGGGGCGUCAAAGCUUACCAAAGAAUAUCAAACUCCGAAUGCCGUAUAGAUGAUGUAUGGGAGUCAGACUGCACGAGAUAAGUUGGGCAGUCAAAAGGGAAAGAGCCCAGACCUCCAGCUAAGGUCCCAAAGUGUGUGUUAAGUGGAAAAGGAUGUGGGAUUUCGAAGACAACUAGGAUGUUGGCUCAGAAGCAGCCAUCCAUUAAAAGAGUGCGUAAUAGCUCACUAGUCGAGAGGUCCUGCGCCGAAAAUGUCCGGGGCUGAAACACAACACCGAAGCUGAGGAAUGACAUAGUCAUUGGUAGAGGAGCAUUCUUAACUGAGACGAAGCUGUACCGUAAGGAGCAGUGGAUUGUUAAGAAGAGAGAAUGCUGGAAUGAGUAGCGAGAGGAAGGUGAGAAUCCUUCCGGCCGAAUAUCCAAGGUUUCCAGAGUAAAGCUGAUCUGCUCUGGGUAAGUCGGGGCCUAAGGCGAGGUCGAAAGACGUAGUCGAUGGACAACAGGUUGAGAUUCCUGUACUAUCGUAUAACAGAACUGUGGGGACACAGAUGGAAAGCACAAACCGGGAAUGGAAAAACCGGUACAAGCGGGGUAGGAGUAGUAAAGGCAAAUCCGUACUACAAUCUGAAGACGUGAUGUGGAGCGAACUAAAGUAGCGAAGUGUGUGAGCCAGCUGUCAAGAAAAGCCGCUAUUGUUUAUAUGAUACCCGUACCGUAAACCGACACAGGUGGAUGAGGAGAGAAUCCUAAGGCCGACGGAAGAAGCAUUGUUAAGGAACUCGGCAAAAUGACCCCGUAACUUCGGGAGAAGGGGUGCCUCGAAAGAGGCCGCAGAGAAUAGGCUCAAGCAACUGUUUAGCAAAAACACAGGUCUAUGCAAAACCGCAAGGUGAAGUAUAUGGGCUGACGCCUGCCCGGUGCUGGAAGGUUAAGAGGAGAUGUUAGCGCAAGCGAAGCAUUGAAUUUAAGCCCCAGUAAACGGCGGCCGUAACUAUAACGGUCCUAAGGUAGCGAAAUUCCUUGUCGGGUAAGUUC